This 101-nucleotide small nucleolar RNA is filed under the name Aspergillus terreus. Its description in RNAcentral is "A. fumigatus snoRNA Afu_264". It matches the Rfam family "A. fumigatus snoRNA Afu_264". Lineage: Eukaryota; Fungi; Ascomycota; Eurotiomycetes; Eurotiales; Aspergillaceae. The record is from Rfam by way of RNAcentral. RNAcentral also lists the same sequence under 1 other name.
CUCAAUGAUGAAACACAACCUUUUUAUUUAUUUUCUGGUACCUCUUAUGUCAGAAGUUGGCCCUUGUGGUCUUCUUCGAUGAUCUUAAUGGACUUCUGAUC